RNAcentral lists this ribosomal RNA (424 nucleotides) under uncultured prokaryote. RNAcentral's name for it is "bacterial SSU rRNA". It matches the Rfam family "Bacterial small subunit ribosomal RNA", at positions 355 to 796 of the family's 1533-position model. The record is from RNAcentral.
UGGGGAAUCUUGGACAAUGGGGGAAACCCUGAUCCAGCCAUGCCGCGUGAGUGAAGAAGGCCCUAGGGUUGUAAAGCUCUUUCAGCGGGGAAGAUAAUGACGGUAACCGGAGAAGAAGCCCCGGCUAACUUCGUGCCAGCAGCCGCGGUAAUACGAAGGGGGCUAGCGUUGUUCGGAAUUACUGGGCGUAAAGCGCGCGUAGGCGGACUGGUCAGUUGGGGGUGAAAUCCCGGGGCUUAACCCCGGAACUGCCUUCAAUACUGCCAGUCUUGAGUCCGGAAGAGGUGAGUGGAAUUCCGAGUGUAGAGGUGAAAUUCGUAGAUAUUCGGAAGAACACCAGUGGCGAAGGCGGCUCACUGGUCCGGUACUGACGCUGAGGCGCGAAAGCGUGGGGAGCAAACAGGAUUAGAUACCCGGGUAGUCC